Molecule: non-coding RNA, 2341 nt
Organism: Oryctolagus cuniculus (rabbit)
Lineage: Eukaryota; Metazoa; Chordata; Mammalia; Lagomorpha; Leporidae
Source: RefSeq, a predicted model, not a curated record
UACUUGAGAGGCAGAGUUACAGAGAUGGAGAAACAGAGAGAAAGAGUGUGCUUCCUUCCAUCUGCUGGUUCACUCCCCAAAUGACUGCAACCACUGGGGCUGGGCCAGGCUGAAGCCAGGAGCCAGGAGCUUCCUUGGGGUCUCCCACAUGGAUACUGGGGCCCAAGCACUUGGGCCAUCUGCUGCUGCUUUCCCAGGCCUUUAGCAGGGAGCUGGAUCAAAAGUGGAGCAGGAGGGAAUCAAACUGGGGCCUAUAUGGGAUGCUGGUGCCACAGGCAGAGGCUUAGCCUAUCACCCAUGGUGCUGGCUUAAAGCAAAAAUCAAAUCAGUACCAUUUCACUUGGGUAGUUUUUGUUUUUUUUUUUUUAAACAUACCAACCCUACUUUGUAAGUCUUUAAGCCUUCAAAGUUCACCAGGAGAAGGUUAUGUGUCUCUAACGAAUAUAGCAGCAAGUUUCAUUUGUUUUUCAUAUCUUGGGCCCAAUGUAGCAGAGACAAAAAUCUCUAAUAAAAUAGAUGAAAAUUAAGUGAAGUCAAUACUCAAAAUAGUAUAUGGGAACUUUGAAAAGUUCAUAGAAAAUGGAAUUAAAGGACGUUAUUUUGGUGUAAAUAUUUUGAAAACCAUGCAUACCUUUUUCAUAAUAUGCAUUCCAUGAACUUUUUGAAGACUCACUCAUAUUCGACAGAUCAUUUUCCCUCCCAAAACAAGCUUUUGAAGUAUCAGUAUUGCGGGAAGGUGGAGGAGCUGAAAUGAAUCAUCCACCAUUAAGAAUAAGAUAGUAAAGUUGCUCUUGCUUGUGUUAGGGAAGCUCCUUUUUGGUGUGAGAAGAUGAUUCAGGAAAUCACCAUGUUGAAAAUUUUUUUAAAAGAUUAUUUAUUUGAAAGUUAAUGAGAGAGGGAGACAAAGGCAGAGAGGGAUCUUCCAUACACUGGUUGUCUGUUCACAAUAGCUGGGACUGGGCCAGUCUGAAGCCAAGAGCGGAAAACUCAACUUGAGUCUCCCAAGUAGGUGGCAGGGACCCAAGUACUUGGGUCACAAUCUGCAGUCUUCCCUACCACAUUAGCAAGAAGCUGGAUUGGAAGUGGAGCAGCUGGGACUUGAAUUGGCACUCUGAUAUGGGAUGCAGUGUUGUGAGGGGCAGCUUAAUCUGCUGUACCACAGUUGAAAAAUAAAUCUAGGGCACUUCCUUCCUGCUGUCCACCUAGCCCUGGUUGACCUUGACUGUGUGAAGAACAAUUAGGAUAAUGUGUAGUGGAACAGAUGAAAUCUCUGCACUGAAAUAACUUUUCCUCUAUUACCUUCAGACUUGAAGGACUUGGAGCAGCCCAGCCCUGAUAACCACUCUCAGAUAUUGUCCUAUAUAGAAGUAGAACAGAGAUGGAACUGAGCAGUCAACAAACUGGAGUUACUUUUUACUUCCACUCUUUGGACCUGAUUACAAUGUGGAAUCCGCCGUCCUAACAGCAGCAGCGAGGAAAAUUCUCCGGCUUUUUUAUUUCGGGGAGGGUCAUAGCCCCGCCUUCCGCAGGGCGCUUUGCUGCCCUGGGCUAGGAAGAGGAAGAUGCGCCAGGUCUUUCUUCCCACCGGCAGAUUAGGCGUGGUGGAGAGGAAGAUGCCGGGUUCCCUUCAACGUCGGCCUCUUACCUCUUGUUCUUCUUUAAAAAGCCAGGUGGCGCCAACUCUCAACCCCUGCUGGAACUGGAGGAUUUUCUUGAUUGCUCAGAGUGGAGCGCAGAGGUGCCGCCAAAGAGCAUGGCGCUUUCUCUCUGCACCCUCCGCCCUUUGGAAACAUCGAUUUGCUGCUUUCUUCUUGCGCACCCCUCGCGGGAUGACUGCAAACCUAAAGAAAAACGGAGUGUCCUGUAUGCCACAUGGAGCUCGAGGAAAGGAAAUGAUUAAAGCUGUGGAGCUUCCUGGCUCUUCGCGGCGUUUACGCUCUCUGCCAUGGCCUGGGAAAGCAGUGGAAGAUGGCCCAAGUGCUUGGACUCUGCAUCUGCAUGGGACACCCUGAAGAAGCUCCUGGCUCCUGGCUUUGGAUUGGCACAGCUCUGGCCAUUGCGACCAUUUGGGAGGUGAACCAGUGGAUGGAAGACCUUUCUCUCUGUAACUCUACCUCUCAAAUAAAUAAAUAAGAAUCUUUAAAAAAGAUUGUCUUUAAAAAAGAUGUGUCUUCAUUAUUUAACUGCUUUGGUAAAGGAUGAUAUGGUUUUUCAGUAUUUAUGACCAUAUACUCAGAAAUGAAAGAUAAUCUGAGAAAUCAAUAUGACAAAACAUCAACUUACCUAUGAGUAGAUCUCAGCCAUUUAGACUAUAAACUCUAGGAGAUGGGGCUAUGCCUCA